RNAcentral lists this transfer RNA (67 nucleotides) under Paratemnopteryx couloniana. RNAcentral describes it as "tRNA-Ala". It matches the Rfam family "tRNA". Rfam says of the family: Transfer RNA (tRNA) molecules are approximately 80 nucleotides in length. Their secondary structure includes four short double-helical elements and three loops (D, anti-codon, and T loops). Further hydrogen bonds mediate the characteristic L-shaped molecular structure. tRNAs have two regions of fundamental functional importance: the anti-codon, which is responsible for specific mRNA codon recognition, and the 3' end, to which the tRNAs corresponding amino acid is attached (by aminoacyl-tRNA synthetases). tRNAs cope with the degeneracy of the genetic code in two manners: having more than one tRNA (with a specific anti-codon) for a particular amino acid; and 'wobble' base-pairing, i.e. permitting non-standard base-pairing at the 3rd anti-codon position. The record is from RNAcentral. Lineage: Eukaryota; Metazoa; Arthropoda; Insecta; Blattodea; Blattellidae.
AGGAUAGUAGUUAAUUAUAACAUUUGGUUUGCAUUCAAAAAGUAUUGAAUAUAUUCAAUCUAUCUUA